This is a long non-coding RNA of Mustela erminea (ermine), 603 nucleotides long. RefSeq lists it as uncharacterized. The record is from RefSeq and is a predicted model, not a curated record. The transcript has 4 exons. Lineage: Eukaryota; Metazoa; Chordata; Mammalia; Carnivora; Mustelidae.
UGGAAACACAGCAGUGAACUGCUUCACGUAGCUGACAUUUUAAAGGACAAGAAACAAGAGAUGGCCUCAAAACGAGCAAAGCCAUCAUGCUGAACUUAAAUGUUUAAAAUCCUGAUCCAGGUCCAAAGACUAAGCGCCAGUCAGCCUGACCAGUAUUCAGGGUCACAAGAGAAACCCUUUUGAGUCAAGGGCAACAAUCAUAACAGAUCUUGGACUUCUCAAAAUGGCACCCAGAAAUGUAAGAGUGUAGAGAAAGCCAGCCCCACAUCAACACCCACCUGAACUCCUGCUUUUGGCACCCCCUCCCUGUUUCCUUACUCCUGGCUUUGUCUCUGGUCAUGGAAUUCUCAUGCCACAGGUAUUUCUAUCCCAACUUACACAUCCAACCUGUAUCUACAACCCUCAUUCAGCAACUAAACAGUCCUUAACCACCCCUUGGACCACAGGAGUAUAUUCAUGCUGUUUCUCCUUUAGACCAAAGUCUCAUCAAUCUUUCCAGGAGCCAAUUUUAGAGAAAAAGAUUCAUGUAAAUCUACAAGUUCAACAUUGGGAAUGGAUUUCUGGGCUCCCAGAUACUCAGAAAAUGGUCUAGAUAGGAAACAA